RNAcentral lists this ribosomal RNA (261 nucleotides) under uncultured bacterium. Its description in RNAcentral is "partial 16S ribosomal RNA". It matches the Rfam family "Bacterial small subunit ribosomal RNA", at positions 524 to 776 of the family's 1533-position model. The record is from RNAcentral.
UACGUAGGGUGCAAGCGUUAAUCGGAAUUACUGGGCGUAAAGCGUGCGCAGGCGGUUAGUGCAAGACCGAUGUGAAAUACCCCGGGCCUUAACCUGGGGAAUGGCAUUGGGUAGACUGUUACGGCUAGAGUGUGUCAGAGGGGGGUAGGAAUUCCACGUGUAGCAGUGAAAUGCGUAGAGAUGUGGAGGAAUACCGAUGGCGAAGGCAGCCCCCUGGGAUAACACUGACGCUCAUGCACGAAAGCGUGGGGAGCAAACAGG